RNAcentral lists this ribosomal RNA (136 nucleotides) under uncultured Trebouxiophyceae. RNAcentral describes it as "partial small subunit ribosomal RNA". It matches the Rfam family "Eukaryotic small subunit ribosomal RNA", at positions 1670 to 1804 of the family's 1831-position model. Lineage: Eukaryota; Viridiplantae; Chlorophyta; Trebouxiophyceae. The record is from RNAcentral.
CGCCCGUCGCUACUACCGAUUGGGUGUGCUGGUGAAGUGUUCGGAUUGGCGGCAGUCGGCGGUUUCCGCUGACUGCAGCCGAGAAGUUCAUUAAACCCUCCCACCUAGAGGAAGGAGAAGUCGUAACAAGGUUUCC